RNAcentral lists this ribosomal RNA (253 nucleotides) under uncultured bacterium. RNAcentral's name for it is "partial 16S ribosomal RNA". It matches the Rfam family "Bacterial small subunit ribosomal RNA", at positions 524 to 776 of the family's 1533-position model. The record is from RNAcentral.
UACGGAGGGGGCGAGCGUUAUUCGGAAUUAUUGGGCGUAAAGGGCGCGUAGGCGGCUUUACAAGUCAAAGGUGAAAUCCCUCGGCUCAACUGAGGAACUGCCUUUGAAACUGUAAGGCUUGAGGCCGGGAGGGGGUAGCGGAAUUCCCAGUGUAGCGGUGAAAUGCGUAGAUAUCGGGAGGAACACCAGUGGCGAAGGCGACCAUCUGGACGGAUACUGACGCUGAGACGCGAAAGCGUGGGUAGCAAACAGG